Molecule: unclassified non-coding RNA, 709 nt
Filed under: Hevea brasiliensis (rubber tree)
Lineage: Eukaryota; Viridiplantae; Streptophyta; Magnoliopsida; Malpighiales; Euphorbiaceae
Source: RNAcentral
GAUUUAUAGUGGGAGUACAUUCAAAAGAACCUGUCAUGUGCUUCUCCAAAAUCUAUAACCUAAAGAGAUUUUUUAAAAUUGGCAAGAAAAAGCAUUACCUGAUUUAACAAAAUUAAAAGAGGCAACUGCAGUAGUUUAAGAUUCCAGCUGUGACAGCAAAUCCCUUAGAGACUACACUUCUUCAUUGGAGAGGAUCCCAGUGGUAUUUGUUUCUUUAGAACAAUCCACUGUCUCAGAUGUAUUUGCUUGAGGUCUUGCUAAUCCCAUUCGUUUACCACCACGUCUUUUAUUUGGAUGGCCAUGGAGUUUCCAGCAAUACUCCUUUUUAUGCCUGGAUUUCCCACAUUUGUUACAGUGUAAAUGAUCCUUGUCUGAUGGACCAUUAUAUGAGGCAGGUGACUGUUCUCAAGAAGUAGCAGCAGCUAACACAGCCUUGUCAGUAGGUAUAGAAUGGAUCAUGACACUUUUACAACUUUCUUCCUGUUGUACAUAGUAUAGGUUGGCUGUGGCCGGAAAAAAUCAAUGGAAAAUGCUUCACGCGCCAGCGCGUGGGAAUGAUGCCAGAACUUACAGCAGCGCGUGGGGUCACAUGUCACCAGACGAUGGCGAAUCUCCAAGGACAGGCUGAUCGCUGGCUGGUUGUCCUUCUGAGGUAGGCGUACUUCAACUUCCCUUGCAGACAUCACCUAGAAGCUUGACCCAAGAAAAC